RNAcentral lists this RNase P RNA (364 nucleotides) under Anaerolineae bacterium. Its description in RNAcentral is "RNase P RNA component class A". It matches the Rfam family "Bacterial RNase P class A". Rfam says of the family: Ribonuclease P (RNase P) is a ubiquitous endoribonuclease, found in archaea, bacteria and eukarya as well as chloroplasts and mitochondria. Its best characterised activity is the generation of mature 5'-ends of tRNAs by cleaving the 5'-leader elements of precursor-tRNAs. The record is from RNAcentral. Lineage: Bacteria; Bacillati; Chloroflexota; Anaerolineae.
UAAGCAGACCGGGUGAUCGCGGCUUGGCAUUGCUCAAGCCGAGGAAAGUCCGCUCUCCACAGGGCAACGGUGCCGGCUAACGGCCGGGCGGGGCGACCCGACGGAUAGUGCAACAGAGAAGGAUAUUGCCUCGCGCAAGCGGGGCGAGGGUGAAACGGUGGUGCAAGAGACCACCAGCGCCGGCAGUAAUGUCGGCGGCUUGGCAAACCCCACCGGGAGCAAGGCAAAGCAGGCGCAUUGGGGCGGCCCGUCCCGCAAAAAGCGCCGGGUAUGCCGCAUGACCGCCGGAGCAAUCCGCGCGGCUAGAGAGAUGAUCGCCGCCUCGCAAGAGGCACAGAAAGCGGCUUACAGGUUUGCUUAGACA